UCCUGGCUCGGAAUGAACGUUGGCGGCGUGGAUUAGGCAUGCAAGUCGUAACGCACAGCUUCGGCUGUGAGUGGCGCAAGGGUGAGUAAUGCGAAAGGGUUAAACCAAACCCCCUUGGGUGUUGGGGCCAUAACCGCGGGAAACUGCGGGUAAUUCCCAGCGACGUCGCGAGAUGGCAUCAUCUUGCGACCAAAGGUGUGAUUCCGCUCUAGGACGGGCCUUCGUGGUAUUAGGUAGUUAGGUGAGGUAACGGCUCACCAAGCCGACGAUGCCUACCGGGUGUGAGAGCAUGACCCGGCACACUGGAACUGAGACACUGUCCAGACACCUACGGGUGGCUGCAGUCGAGAAUCUUCGGCAAUGGGCGAAAGCCUGACCGAGCGACGCCGCGUGAGGGAAGAAGGCCUUCGGGUUGUAAACCUCUUUCGUAGAGGAGGAAGGGGCCGUGCAGAGCGGUCUUUGACCUAUUCUAGGAAGAAGCUUGGGCUAAGUUCGUG
This 497-nucleotide ribosomal RNA is filed under the name uncultured bacterium. RNAcentral's name for it is "bacterial SSU rRNA". It matches the Rfam family "Bacterial small subunit ribosomal RNA", at positions 17 to 507 of the family's 1533-position model. The record is from RNAcentral.